UGCGCAGGCGGUUGUGUAAGUCUGAUGUGAAAGCCCCGGGCUCAACCUGGGAACUGCAUUGGAGACUGCACGGCUAGAGUGCGUCAGAGGGGGGUAGAAUUCCGCGUGUAGCAGUGAAAUGCGUAGAGAUGCGGAGGAAUACCGAUGGCGAAGGCAGCCCCCUGGGAUGACACUGACGCUCAUGCACGAAAGCGUGGGGAGCAAACAGGAUUAGAUACCCUGGUAGUCCACGCCCCAAACGAUGUCAACUAGCUGGUUGGGGGUUUGAAUCCUUGGUAGCGUAGCUAACGCGAGAAGUUGACCGCCGUGGGGAGUACGGCCGCAAGGUUAAA
Molecule: ribosomal RNA, 332 nt
Filed under: uncultured bacterium
Lineage: Bacteria
Description: bacterial SSU rRNA
Rfam family: Bacterial small subunit ribosomal RNA
Source: RNAcentral